GAUGAACGCUGGCGGCGUGCCUAAUACAUGCAAGUCGAGCGAACAGACGAGGAGCUUGCUCCUCUGACGUUAGCGGCGGACGGGUGAGUAACACGUGGAUAACCUACCUAUAAGACUGGGAUAACUUCGGGAAACCGGAGCUAAUACCGGAUAAUAUAUUGAACCGCAUGGUUCAAUAGUGAAAGACGGUUUUGCUGUCACUUAUAGAUGGAUCCGCGCCGCAUUAGCUAGUUGGUAAGGUAACGGCUUACCAAGGCAACGAUGCGUAGGCGACCUGAGAGGAUGAUCGGCCACACUGGAACUGAGACACGGUCCAGACUCCUACGGGAGGCAGCAGUAGGGAAUCUUCCGCAAUGGGCGAAAGCCUGACGGAGCAACGCCGCGUGAGUGAUGAAGGUCUUCGGAUCGUAAACCUCUGUUAUUAGGGAAGAACAAAUGUGUAAGUAACUAUGCACGUCUUGACGGUACCUAAUCAGAAAGCCACGGCUAACUACGUG
RNAcentral lists this ribosomal RNA (497 nucleotides) under uncultured bacterium. RNAcentral's name for it is "partial 16S ribosomal RNA". It matches the Rfam family "Bacterial small subunit ribosomal RNA", at positions 28 to 507 of the family's 1533-position model. The record is from RNAcentral.